Long non-coding RNA from Bos taurus (domestic cattle), 860 nucleotides. NCBI's taxonomy places the organism in Eukaryota, Metazoa, Chordata, Mammalia, Artiodactyla, Bovidae. The record is from Ensembl.
GCGCGGCUCCAGGAGGAACGCCCAGCACGCGGAGAAGGUGUCGCCGGCUGCUCUUUAAAAUUCCUCGUUUUGAGAGGGAUUUUUUGAGGAACUGCCUUUCUUUUUAGCAGGAGCACUGUAUUGAAGUUACCAAAGCCCCUCCCUCAGUCUUGCCAAUGGACCAACCACAGGCCUCUCUCACUUCAGAGGAGUAAAACGGCCCCUGCGGGGCUUCUUGACCAAACCACAGUUUAAAGAGGCGGAGACAGGUGGGAGUCGGGGGCGGGAAACAUCCAGAAAGCAGUGAUGCACCAAGUGUGGAGACAGAAGAGUUUCCAAGCAGAGCGCUGGCAGUGGCUGCUCCCCCUUCCUCCAGUGAGCCUGCUUUUCCAUACUGGAAGAAGAUGAAAUGCACAUUUCAGAAUAACAACUGAUUGACAUCAGAGAAGAUGGAAAUCUAUAGCCAAAUUUUAACAAAAGUCUUUCCAUAAUUGGUGAAUGAAAUUUAGUUAAAACAGCCAAUAAAGAAAAUUAUGGAUUUAUGUUUCUUCAUGAGACAUAUUCCUUAGUUGCAAAAACCACUACAACAAAACACUGGAGAAAAUGAAUUAACAAACAUUUAAAUGAUUGUUGGACUAUAAAGAAAGCUGAGUGCCAAAGAAUUGAUACAUUUGAACUAUGGUGGUGGAGAAGACUCUUGAGAGUCCCCUGGACUGCAUGGAGAUCGAACCCAUCCAUCCUAAAGGAAAUCAAUACUGAAUAUUCAUUGGAAGGACUGAUGUUGAAGCUGAAACUCCAAUACUUUGGCCACCUGAUGUGAAGAGCUGACUCCUUGGAAAAGACCCUGAUGCUGGGACAGGUUGAAGCCAGGAGAGGGGGAU